ACCAUCAAGCCAUGUGGCAGUAUCAGGAUUAUUUGAAUUGUAAGUAUACUUUCAGAUCAAGUCAGCUGUAUACUGAUCUGUAUUAAUCUUCAGCUCGUCGUUUUGCCGAUCUCACAUAAGUUAAUUUUUGAUGAAACAUGAUGCUUAGCUCAGCUGGUUACCGAUCUACCAUAAGUCACAUCGGUUCAAGACCAAUGUGACCAUAAAAACAUAGAUGGUUAUGUUGCAGCCGGUAUCCAGUUCA
This 244-nucleotide long non-coding RNA is filed under the name Elaeis guineensis (African oil palm). RNAcentral's name for it is "long non-coding RNA (EGUI_LNC017383)". Lineage: Eukaryota; Viridiplantae; Streptophyta; Magnoliopsida; Arecales; Arecaceae. The record is from RNAcentral.